This 251-nucleotide ribosomal RNA is filed under the name uncultured bacterium. RNAcentral describes it as "partial 16S ribosomal RNA". It matches the Rfam family "Bacterial small subunit ribosomal RNA", at positions 524 to 773 of the family's 1533-position model. The record is from RNAcentral.
UACGGAGGGAGCUAGCGUUGUUCGGAAUUACUGGGCGUAAAGCGCACGUAGGCGGCUUUGUAAGUUAGAGGUGAAAGCCCGGGGCUCAACCCCGGAAUUGCCUUUAAGACUGCAUCGCUUGAAUCCGGGAGAGGUGAGUGGAAUUCCGAGUGUAGAGGUGAAAUUCGUAGAUAUUCGCAAGAACACCAGUGGCGAAGGCGGCUCACUGGCCCGAUACUGACGCUCAGGAGCCGAAAGCGUGGGGAGCGAUC